CCUCGGCCCGAGUUGUAAUUUGCAGAGGAUGCUUCUGGCGCGGUGCCUUCCGAGUUCCCUGGAACGGGACGCCACAGAGGGUGAGAGCCCCGUAUGGUCGGACACCAAGCCUGUGUGAAGCUCCUUCGACGAGUCGAGUAGUUUGGGAAUGCUGCUCAAAAUGGGAGGUAAAUCUCUUCUAAAGCUAAAUACCGGCCAGAGACCGAUAGCGCACAAGUAGAGUGAUCGAAAGAUGAAAAGCACCUUGAAAAGGGGGUUAAACAGUACGUGAAAUUGUUGAAAGGGAAGCGCUUGUGACCAGACUUGUGCCGGGCGGCUCAUCAGGGGUUCUCCCCUGUGUACUCCGCCCGGUUCAGGCCAGCAUCGGUUUUCGCUGGGGGAUAAGAACGGUGGGAACGUGGCCCCCCCUCGGGGGGGUGUUAUAGCCCGCCGUACGAUACCCUAGCGGGGACCGAGGUUCGCGCUCCGCAAGGAUGCUGGCGUAAUGGUCAUCAGCGACCCGUCUU
This 506-nucleotide ribosomal RNA is filed under the name Melanconiella betulicola. Its description in RNAcentral is "partial 28S ribosomal RNA". It matches the Rfam family "Eukaryotic large subunit ribosomal RNA", at positions 131 to 655 of the family's 3401-position model. The record is from RNAcentral. Lineage: Eukaryota; Fungi; Ascomycota; Sordariomycetes; Diaporthales; Melanconiellaceae.